GAUGAACGCUGGCGGCGUGCCUAAUACAUGCAAGUCGAGCGAACAGACGAGGAGCUUGCUCCUCUGACGUUAGCGGCGGACGGGUGAGUAACACGUGGAUAACCUACCUAUAAGACUGGGAUAACUUCGGGAAACCGGAGCUAAUACCGGAUAAUAUAUUGAACCGCAUGGUUCAAUAGUGAAAGACGGUUUUGCUGUCACUUAUAGAUGGAUCCGCGCCUCAUUAGCUAGUUGGUAAGGUAACGGCUUACCAAGGCAACGAUGCGUAGCCGAACUGAGAGGGUGAUCGGCCACACUGGAACUGAGACACGGUCCAGACUCCUACGGGAGGCAGCAGUAGGGAAUCUUCCGCAAAGGGCGGAAGCCUGACGGAGCAACGCCGCGUGAGUGAUGAAGGUCUUCGGAUCGUAAAACUCUGUUAUUAGGGAAGAACAAAUGUGUAAGUAACUAUGCACGUCUUGACGGUACCUAAUCAGAAAGCCACGGCUAACUACGUG
RNAcentral lists this ribosomal RNA (497 nucleotides) under uncultured bacterium. Its description in RNAcentral is "partial 16S ribosomal RNA". It matches the Rfam family "Bacterial small subunit ribosomal RNA", at positions 28 to 507 of the family's 1533-position model. The record is from RNAcentral.